RNAcentral lists this transfer RNA (63 nucleotides) under Acheta domesticus (house cricket). RNAcentral's name for it is "tRNA-Gly". RNAcentral also lists the same sequence under 1 other name. Lineage: Eukaryota; Metazoa; Arthropoda; Insecta; Orthoptera; Gryllidae. The record is from RNAcentral.
AUUUAUUUAGUAUAAAAAGUAUAACUGAUUUCCAAUCAGAAGGUUUAUAAAUUAAAAUAAAUA